UACGGAGGGUGCAAGCGUUAUCCGGAUUCACUGGGUUUAAAGGGUGCGUAGGCGGGUUGGUAAGUCCGUGGUGAAAUCUCCAAGCUUAACUUGGAAACUGCCGUGGAUACUAUCAAUCUUGAAUAUCGUGGAGGUAAGCGGAAUAUGUCAUGUAGCGGUGAAAUGCUUAGAUAUGACAUAGAACACCAAUUGCGUAGGCAGCUUACUACACGAUCAUUGACACUGAGGCACGAAAGCGUGGGGAGCAAACAGG
This 253-nucleotide ribosomal RNA is filed under the name uncultured bacterium. RNAcentral describes it as "partial 16S ribosomal RNA". It matches the Rfam family "Bacterial small subunit ribosomal RNA", at positions 524 to 776 of the family's 1533-position model. The record is from RNAcentral.